GUGGGGAAUCUUGCGCAAUGGGCGAAAGCCUGACGCAGCCAUGCCGCGUGAAUGAUGAAGGUCUUAGGAUUGUAAAAUUCUUUCACCGGGGACGAUAAUGACGGUACCCGGAGAAGAAGCCCCGGCUAACUUCGUGCCAGCAGCCGCGGUAAUACGAAGGGGGCUAGCGUUGCUCGGAAUUACUGGGCGUAAAGGGCGCGUAGGCGGACAGUUUAGUCAGAGGUGAAAGCCCAGGGCUCAACCUUGGAAUUGCCUUUGAUACUGGCUGUCUUGAGUACGGGAGAGGUGAGGGGAACUCCGAGUGUAGAGGUGAAAUUCGUAGAUAUUCGGAAGAACACCAGUGGCGAAGGCGACUCACUGGCCCGUUACUGACGCUGAGGCGCGAAAGCGUGGGGAGCAAACAGGAUUAGAUACCCCUGUAGUCC
RNAcentral lists this ribosomal RNA (425 nucleotides) under uncultured bacterium. RNAcentral describes it as "partial 16S ribosomal RNA". It matches the Rfam family "Bacterial small subunit ribosomal RNA", at positions 354 to 796 of the family's 1533-position model. The record is from RNAcentral.